GAGGGUAUAGUUCAGUGGUAGAGCAUAUGCUUAGCAUGCACGAGGUCCUGGGUUCAAUCCCCAGUACCUCCA
Molecule: transfer RNA, 72 nt
Filed under: Camelus bactrianus (Bactrian camel)
Lineage: Eukaryota; Metazoa; Chordata; Mammalia; Artiodactyla; Camelidae
Also listed under: 2 other names
Rfam family: tRNA
About the family: Transfer RNA (tRNA) molecules are approximately 80 nucleotides in length.
Source: Rfam by way of RNAcentral